GCUGGGAGUGGAGACCCCACGCCUGUCAUCCCAGCACCUUGGGAGGCUGAGGCAGGAGGAUCUUGAGUUCAAAACCAGUCUCAGCAACAGCGAGGCCCUAAGCCACUAGAGAGACCCUGUCUCUU
RNAcentral lists this small RNA (125 nucleotides) under Marmota monax (woodchuck). Lineage: Eukaryota; Metazoa; Chordata; Mammalia; Rodentia; Sciuridae. The record is from RNAcentral.